This 717-nucleotide ribosomal RNA is filed under the name Staphylococcus aureus. Its description in RNAcentral is "partial 23S ribosomal RNA". It matches the Rfam family "Bacterial large subunit ribosomal RNA", at positions 1 to 715 of the family's 2925-position model. Lineage: Bacteria; Bacillati; Bacillota; Bacilli; Caryophanales; Staphylococcaceae. The record is from RNAcentral.
GAUUAAGUUAUUAAGGGCGCACGGUGGAUGCCUUGGCACUAGAAGCCGAUGAAGGACGUUACUAACGACGAUAUGCUUUGGGGAGCUGUAAGUAAGCUUUGAUCCAGAGAUUUCCGAAUGGGGAAACCCAGCAUGAGUUAUGUCAUGUUAUCGAUAUGUGAAUACAUAGCAUAUCAGAAGGCACACCCGGAGAACUGAAACAUCUUAGUACCCGGAGGAAGAGAAAGAAAAUUCGAUUCCCUUAGUAGCGGCGAGCGAAACGGGAAGAGCCCAAACCAACAAGCUUGCUUGUUGGGGUUGUAGGACACUCUAUACGGAGUUACAAAGGACGACAUUAGACGAAUCAUCUGGAAAGAUGAAUCAAAGAAGGUAAUAAUCCUGUAGUCGAAAAUGUUGUCUCUCUUGAGUGGAUCCUGAGUACGACGGAGCACGUGAAAUUCCGUCGGAAUCUGGGAGGACCAUCUCCUAAGGCUAAAUACUCUCUAGUGACCGAUAGUGAACCAGUACCGUGAGGGAAAGGUGAAAAGCACCCCGGAAGGGGAGUGAAAUAGAACCUGAAACCGUGUGCUUACAAGUAGUCAGAGCCCGUUAAUGGGUGAUGGCGUGCCUUUUGUAGAAUGAACCGGCGAGUUACGAUUUGAUGCAAGGUUAAGCAGUAAAUGUGGAGCCGUAGCGAAAGCGAGUCUGAAUAGGGCGUUUAGUAUUUGGUCGUAGACC